Molecule: unclassified non-coding RNA, 240 nt
Filed under: soil metagenome
Description: partial contains 5.8S ribosomal RNA, internal transcribed spacer 2, and large subunit ribosomal RNA
Source: RNAcentral
AACCAUAGAAACCUGCGGAGUACCUGCGGAAGGAUCAUUACCGAGUGUGGCCCCAUUUUUAAAACAAAUAGGGGUACCUCCCGUCCUUUGCAGGGCCCUUUGGGGCUUUUUGAACUUUGCUUCGGCGGGUUUUAUCCCGCCGGAACACCCUCAAGAAAAUCUUUUUAAAAAUACUGUCGUCUGAGCAUUUACAAAAUAAAACAAAACUUUUAACAAUGGAUCUCAGAUCGGAAGAGCACA